GCCUCCGUAGCUCAGUUGGAUAGAGCAGUUCACUUCUAAUGAUCUGGUCGCAGGUUCGAUUCCUGCCGGGGGCG
This 74-nucleotide transfer RNA is filed under the name Gordonia araii NBRC 100433. Its description in RNAcentral is "tRNA-Arg". It matches the Rfam family "tRNA". Rfam says of the family: Transfer RNA (tRNA) molecules are approximately 80 nucleotides in length. The record is from RNAcentral. Lineage: Bacteria; Bacillati; Actinomycetota; Actinomycetes; Mycobacteriales; Gordoniaceae.